UUUCCGGUUGAUCCCGCCGGACCUGACUGCUAUCGGAUUGAUACUAAGCCAUGCGAGUCAUUGUAGCAAUACAAGGCAGACGGCUCAGUAACGCGUAGUCAACCUACCCUAUGGACGGGAAUAACCUCGGGAAACUGAGUAUAAUGCCCGAUAGAACACUAUACCUGGAAUGGUUUGUAUUCCAAAUGAUUUAUUGCCAUAGGAUGGGACUGCGGCCUAUCAGUUUGUUGGUGAGGUAAUGGCCCACCAAGACUAUUACAGGUACGGGCUCUGAGAGGAGUGGCCCGGAGAUGGGUACUGAGACACGGACCCAGGCCCUAUGGGGCGCAGCAGGCGAGAAAACUUUGCAAUGUGCGAAAGCACGACAAGGUUAAUCCGAGUGGUUUCUGCUAAAGGAACCUUUUGACAGUCCUAGAAACACUGUUGAAUAAGGGGUGGGCAAGUUCUGGUGUCAGCCGCCGCGGUAAAACCAGCACCUCAAGUGGUCAGGAUGAUUAUUGGGCCUAAAGCAUCCGUAGCCGGCUCUGUAAGUUUUCGGUUAAAUCUGUACGCUUAACGUACAGGCUGCUGGGAAUACUGCAGAGCUAGGGAGUGGGAGAGGUAGACGGUACUCGGGAGGAAGUGGUAAAAUGCUUUGAUCUCUCGAUGACCACCUGUGGCGAAGGCGGUCUACCAGAACACGUCCGACGGUGAGGGGUGAAAGCUGGGGGAGCAAACCGGAUUAGAUACCCGGGUAGUCCCAGCUGUAAACUAUGCAAACUCAGUGAUGCACUGGCUUAUGGCCAGUGCAGUGUUGCAGGGAAGCCGUUAAGUUUGCCGCCUGGGAAGUACGUACGCAAGUAUGAAACUUAAAGGAAUUGGCGGGGGAGCACCACAAGGGGUGAAGCCUGCGGUUCAAUUGGAGUCAACGCCGGG
This 915-nucleotide ribosomal RNA is filed under the name uncultured marine group I thaumarchaeote. Its description in RNAcentral is "bacterial SSU rRNA". It matches the Rfam family "Archaeal small subunit ribosomal RNA", at positions 1 to 922 of the family's 1478-position model. Lineage: Archaea; Thermoproteati; Nitrososphaerota. The record is from RNAcentral.